UCGAGAAUCUUCGGCAAUGGGCGCAAGCCUGACCGAGCGACGCCGCGUGCGGGAUGAAGGCCUUCGGGUUGUAAACCGCUGUCGUAGGGGAGGAAGCAACCGUGAAGAACGGAAGUUGACCGAUCCUAGGAGGAAGGGCCGGCUAAUCUCGUGCCAGCAGCCGCGGUAAUACGAGAGGCCCAAACGUUAUUCGGAUUUACUGGGCUUAAAGAGUUCGUAGGCGGCGCAGAAAGUAGGGUGUGAAAGCCCUCGGCUCAACCGAGGAAUUGCGCUCUAAACUGUCGUACUCGAGGAACCUAGAGGUGAGCAGAACUGAUGGUGGAGCGGUGAAAUGCGUUGAUAUCAUCAGGAAUACCGGAGGCGAAGGCGGCUCACUGGGGGUUUUCUGACGCUGAGGAACGAAAGCCAGGGGAGCGAACG
This 420-nucleotide ribosomal RNA is filed under the name uncultured Pirellula sp. RNAcentral describes it as "bacterial SSU rRNA". It matches the Rfam family "Bacterial small subunit ribosomal RNA", at positions 355 to 774 of the family's 1533-position model. Lineage: Bacteria; Pseudomonadati; Planctomycetota; Planctomycetia; Pirellulales; Pirellulaceae. The record is from RNAcentral.